AGUGAACGCUGGCGAUAGGCCUAACACAUGCAAGUCGAACGGCAGCACAGUAAGAGCUUGCUCUUACGGGUGGCGAGUGGCGGACGGGUGAGGAAUACAUCGGAAUCUACUUUUUCGUGGGGGAUAACGUAGGGAAACUUACGCUAAUACCGCAUACGACCUACGGGUGAAAGCAGGGGAUCUUCGGACCUUGCGCGAUUGAAUGAGCCGAUGUCGGAUUAGCUAGUUGGCGGGGUAAAGGCCCGCCAAGGCGACGAUCCGUAGCUGGUCUGAGAGGAUGAUCAGCCACACUGGAACUGAGACACGGUCCAGACUCCUACGGGAGGCAGCAGUGGGGAAUAUUGGACAAUGGGCGCAAGCCUGAUCCAGCCAUACCGCGUGGGUGAAGAAGGCCUUCGGGUUGUAAAGCCCUUUUGUUGGGAAAGAAAAGCAGCAGGUUAAUACCCCGCUGUUCUGACGGUACCCAAAGAAUAAGCACCGGCUAACUUCGUG
Molecule: ribosomal RNA, 492 nt
Filed under: uncultured bacterium
Lineage: Bacteria
Description: partial 16S ribosomal RNA
Rfam family: Bacterial small subunit ribosomal RNA
Source: RNAcentral